Molecule: unclassified non-coding RNA, 140 nt
Filed under: uncultured Pleosporales
Lineage: Eukaryota; Fungi; Ascomycota; Dothideomycetes; Pleosporales
Description: sequence contains ITS1
Source: RNAcentral
CCGAGUUCUCGGGCUUCGGCUCGACUCUCCCACCCUUUGUGAACACACCUCUGUUGCUUUGGCGGCUCUCGCGGGCCGCCAGAGGACCUUCAAACUCCAGUCAGUGAACGUCGACGUCUGAUAAACAAGUUAAUAAACUA